This 357-nucleotide long non-coding RNA is filed under the name Lathyrus oleraceus (garden pea). RNAcentral's name for it is "Pisum sativum (pea) long non-coding RNA (PSAT_LNC028780)". The record is from RNAcentral. Lineage: Eukaryota; Viridiplantae; Streptophyta; Magnoliopsida; Fabales; Fabaceae.
GGGAGUGGCGUGAGAUUUUUUUAGAUUUGAGAGAGAGAGGUAACUGAGUGAUUGAGAGAGACAUGUAGGUAGCUGAGUGAUUGAGAGAGACGUGUUGGUAGCUGAGUGAUUGAGAAAGACGUGUGGGGUGGGUUAUGCAAGCUGUCAAUUUGAAAAAGAAGAGAAUCCUAUGCUAUCUUAUUUUAACAUUAUUAUUCUAAAAACCAUCAUUGUUAUUCAUUUUUAACUAAUAAAUAGGAUUAUUACAAAUAAAAACUUUAAUUAUUUAAUUUGAUAUUUUGAAUAAAGAAAUAAAAUGAUCUGAUUAAAAAUAGAAAUUGGAUAUAAAUUUACUUGAAAAGUUAAAUUGGAAACACU